GAUGAACGCUAGCGGCAGGCCUAACACAUGCAAGUCGAGGGGCAGCACGUCUUCGGAUGGUGGCGACCGGCGCACGGGUGCGUAACGCGUAUGCAACCUACCUCUUACAGUGGGAUAGCCCAGAGAAAUUUGGAUUAAUACCGCAUAGUAUACAGAUUCAGCAUUGGGACUGUAUUAAACAUUUAUGGGUAAGAGAUGGGCAUGCGUUCUAUUAGUUAGUUGGAGUGGUAACGGCACCCCAAGACAGCGAUAGAUAGGGCCCUGAGAGGGGAUCCCCCACACUGGUACUGAGACACGGACCAGACUCCACGGGAGCAGCAGUGAGGAAUAUUGGACAAUGGGCGAGAGCCUUGAUCCAGCCAUGCCGACGUGCAGGAAGACGG
This 383-nucleotide ribosomal RNA is filed under the name uncultured bacterium. Its description in RNAcentral is "bacterial SSU rRNA". It matches the Rfam family "Bacterial small subunit ribosomal RNA", at positions 28 to 414 of the family's 1533-position model. The record is from RNAcentral.